GAUGAAGAACGUAGCGAAAUGCGAUACUUGGUGUGAAUUGCAGAAUCCCGUGAACCAUCGAGUCUUUGAACGCAAGUUGCGCCCGAAGCCAUCAGGUUGAGGGCACGUCUGCCUGGGCGUCACAUAUCGUUGCCCAAUGCCUAUUGCAGUGCAAUAGGAAUUUCUAGGGCGAAUGAUGGCUUCCCGUGAGCGUUGUUGCCUCGCGGUUGGUUGAAAAUCGAGUCCUGGGUAGGGUGUGCCAUGGUAGAUGGUGGUCGAGUUAGAACGAUACCGAUCAUGUGCAUGCUCCCCAAAAUAUGGCCUCUAUGACCCACACGCGUCUUUUGACGCUCAUGACGAGACCUCAGGUCAGGCGGGGUUACCCGCUGAACUUAAGCAUAUCAAUAAGCGGAGGA
RNAcentral lists this unclassified non-coding RNA (395 nucleotides) under soil metagenome. RNAcentral's name for it is "partial contains 5.8S ribosomal RNA, internal transcribed spacer 2, and large subunit ribosomal RNA". The stretch from base 1 to 122 matches the Rfam family "5.8S ribosomal RNA", at positions 35 to 154 of the family's 154-position model. The record is from RNAcentral.